UCUUCGUUUUUACUAAGUUUGGUCGGGUUGUUCUUGGCGUAUAUUUUUGAAUUUAGUGCCAUUUUGUGUGUUUUUGGCCAAUCAUUUCAGUGGUAUAAGUGACUCUUGCAACAAUUCAGUUAUUUUCGAGUAAUUGAACGAAAUAAUUUUCGGCGUUUUUUAUUCCUGGUGCUGGCUUCGUUUUUGUGUGUGCGAUACAAAGAAGUGUGCGGUGUGCAGGUGUAUUGUCUACAUAAAGAUCUACAACUUAACAGCAAAUACAUUAUUAGCAUUGUAAGGACCCAAUUCGAAUUUUUAAAUUUCAAAUGAAUUUCGCGCGCGCAAGAAACGGUUGGUAAGAAGAAGAGGUUGGCAACCAACGACACCAAUAAAGAGACAUGCGCAAGAAAAUGUUAGAGUGGUUUUGUCUCGUGUAAAAUCACCCACUUCCCUCUGACCGCUUCGAACAAACAGACGAUUUCCCUCUAACCGCUUCGAGCAAACAGACCACUUCCUUCCGAGCGCUUCGAGCAACAGGUCGUAUUUUUAUUUGUGAAUUAUUCUGUGCCUUUUGCUGUUGUGUUUUGUUUUUCCAGUGUUGAUCUGUUCCAUUGGAAAACCUAGCAGCCCCCGUUGAGCCAUUGGGUGUUCCUGAUUUCUCAUCGUUCUUACGACGAGGUUUUUGUGUUCCUUUUGGCGGUAAGCCGUGUCGAAAUCUUCGCAUCUUUGGAGAGGUAUGUUUUGACCCCAUGUUUUGGACUGGGUCCUGUUUCGCGGCGAGUUUCAAGUGUCGACGGUGCUCCUGACCUCGUGACUCAGCGACGCGUGCGCUUUUUUCCACUAAUCUCGUUUUUUUACCUUUCAUUUAAAAUCCGUCGUAGUAGGGCUUUGCAGGAAGUGAUUUUUAGUUCGGGGCAUGCUUUAUUUAGCUAUAUUUGUGAAAUCUGUAUUUUGGAUGGCGGCAGACGAGUUGUUAUUUUCACCGUUCUUUGUUCAGGCAGCAGCCAUUUUGAAGCGUCCAUUUUGUUUCUUUUAACCGAGCACAUGUUUCAACUGAACCUAUUGCACAAAUUAACAAACAUUGUGGGUCAUGGGGGGACGUGCCUUUUAUUCCUUGAUUUAGCCCAUCGUUUAUACAACGCCACAGGAUUCAUCGCAUUUUUGCAUCGCAUAUUUUCGACGCCUAUUAUUUGGAAUGACGAAUUCGUCCAACGCCAUUUGUGCCUGCAGAUUGUCUGCCAUGUUUUGUUUAUGUGUUUUGUUUGGGGAAAUGUAUGUGUAAUAAUGGCCCACAAUGUAGCUGAAUAAUUUCACGUUUUGAAUUUUAACCAAUAACUUGACUGGACACGAAUUAUUAUCACUCUCAUGUAAAUUUGUUAACUUUGUAAUGUCUCACCUCAUGCAAUUUUUCUUUAUCUCACAAUUUCAGCCUCAGUAAUUUUCUUUGUUGUAUAAUUUGAAUUGAACGUAAAUUUCCAUGCUCUGCAGUUUUGACCUAACAUGAUAUUUUAUUUGCACAAGCUUAUUUCACACCAGAUCUUUGUUUUAUAAAUCUUUGCUAAGUUUUGAUCUUGUAAAUAUUUUGUUGGUGAAUGUUUCUAUCAUGUAAAUUAUCUGAUGUCCAAAUUUAAUCUCAAUUAAGAAUUAUUUGUUGUUGAAUUUUCGUAAGAGUGUGUGGCGAAUUUAAAUGUUGUGUAUUGCUCUUUGUGGAAACUUUAACACUUGUUCGGUUGUCAUUUAAUAUUAGAGCCAUAGAGAUUGAACAUUUAAAUGAAAUUGAGGGUAAAUAACACAUAACUCGUAGUGUACGUGGGGCGCGCGACUCCUUCUCAAACUGACGGGAUUAAUCGCGUCGCCUGCAAAAGUCCGCGGGUUUUGUAUAGCUUCAGGGGGCGAUCGCGGGUUUUUAACGCUGUCGGCUUCUGUACAUAGCCGGGACCCAACUACGGAUCUGCGAUCGUAACCGCCUCGUUUCGCAGGGCACGUUCGUAAUGGAGAUGUGCGUGUGAGCAGGCUUUGGUGUAGAUAGAAUCACCGUCGUGGGGGAGAACAGUGACGAUCAGGAGUCCCAACCUCUACUUGCGCUAUAACGCCCCCUCUGGGUAUUUUGCUGUGCUCGUAAAUGAAAUUGAUAUAUUUUGUUCUAUAUUUUGUUCGAUCGCCACACUCUCAUAAUGAUUCGGGUUCUGCCAUUCAAUUUACAUAUGUGUAGGUCUUGUGUUUGUUCGGUUUUCAUAUGUGUAUGUCUGUCAAUUCGCGAGUGUUUUUCGUUCAUAUAUCUUAAGGUGUUUGACAUAUAAUAUGUCGGUGAAUAAAACCCCAGGGGGUUUUGGGGAAUGAAGACCGAUGACACCUUGGCCCUGCGGACUCGCCAGAAGGGCAAUUCGAACCUCUGUUGUCGUUCUUCGUUUCUUUUUCCUCCUUAGGAAGGCUUUUGACCAACCUAAUUUUGUCUAUUAUUUCUUGCGCUCUCGACCGUGUAUGCACUUGUAUGAAAGAACGUCUUCCCGCCAUUUUUCAAAAACAAAAAAAAAAAACACACAACAUAGGUUCUCAUUUGUUAGACGAUCACAGCCAAGGCCAAACUUUGAAUUUUUGAAUUUUUCGCGGGCCUUUCAAACUGUUUCAAGGUCAAAUUUUAAGGCGGGAAGUUUGGGUUAUCACAGCAUAGAUAUUUUCAUCUGACUUUUUUUUAAGAAAAAAAUUCACAUAAACAAAACAAACUCAAGAAGAUUGUUCUUGACCAUUAGCUUCCUGAGAUUUCAUAACAUCUGCUAAAUCAGCAGUUGAAUAUGGGGUAUACUCCAAAUCUUCAAAAGCAUCCGCAGUAUCUCUGUAUAAUACCCAUAAUAGCUACUUAUUUGUUAGAAGGUGACUUCUACUCACCGUACUGCAAGCCCUACUGUCGCUGGAUUCUGAGCUGUAGUUGUGGUCGAAGUCAGUCCAUAAUCCUGCAACAUCCUAUCAUCCACCAUAAUAGUAUUAUCUUUAUUAAACAACUGUUGGUCCUGCGGUGGUAUCUUUAAAAACCCUAUCAAAAAGACGGUGGUUGUGUUUUUUGCAUCUGUAAAUAUAGUCAACGUCUUCCUCCGAAUCAUCAAAAACACGUCCUAGAACAACCGAGUUGUACAAUUAUUGGCAAACAUGACUGGUUGUAAGUUAAUCCGUUAAAAUGGAAGAGACUGGAAUAUACUUAGUCGUUCUUAAUUUGGAUACUUACCAUGGUUUAACUUUAAGCAGUGGGAUGAGGUUAUCUUUUAAAAAAUAAUAUAUUGUGUAGUAUUUGCAUGAAUUAAGUGUUUAACCUAACUGAUAACUGACACAAUGACCGUUCUAAUUAAUCAAAGAACAUAGAGAAGCGACAUAGAGGCUGAUUUUGCAAAACCACCCUUAUUGACAUUGGAGUCCUCAACCGCCAAAGUAUAAGCUGGUGUGCUCAGAUCAUUUCACAACAACUGAUUUCAUUGUUGUAAAUGAGAGAAAACGAUUGAAAUCGAACGCAAUUCCCAAUGUGAAUUUAGAUGAAAGUCUACAAGCUUCUUCAACUUCAAUGAGUACUGUGAGUGCUACUUCAGCUGAUAUUUGAGAAGAGUCUCCAUCGAUGUAAAGAGGACAUUAAGGACAUUAAGUGCUGCGCAGAGAUACCAUGGAAAAAGCAGUAGCAGUACAAGUGGAAGUAAAAGCAAGAACUCAAAAAGUAGUUCUGACGGUAGGGAAGGUGAUAAGCUGGCGUUACAUAAAGAAACUACAUGAAGAAGAAUUCCUAAAUGUUGCAAACAAGUUGAAAAAGGCACAUUUGGAGUGGCGGCAACAUAAAAUGAAAUUCUAUUAUAGGUGAGUUUAGCAGCACAAACUCUUAGCAAGAGUUGCGGAUGCCCUUGAAUUUUUAAAAGAUAUUGGUAUUAGUGACUUUCAAGAUUGUGAAGCAACAAUAGAAUUCAUCAGAAGGAUAGAUUCUUUAUUUGAUAUUCUCAAUUCCCGAAGUGUACGUGCUAAGAAUUUUAAGGCAUCUUUGAGAGAAAACAAUGAAGAAAUGUGGCGUCCAUUUCUCAUCGACACCAGUGAGUAUCUUCUGAAUUUGAAGGAUGUCACUGGCAGGCCUUUGUGGUGCACGCCCCGAAAAACGUCAGUUCUGGGCUUUGUUAUUUCCGCUACGUCGUUCAUGGGAAUUUUUGAUGAAUUUGUUAGUAGUAGGAGGUUGAAUGACUUGCUAACAUAUAAAUGUAGUCAAGAUCAUCUGGAAAUUUUCUUCUGCUCAGUGCGAUCGAGAAAUGGGUGAAACAAUAACGCUACUCCUCUACAAUUUUGUAAAACUUUUAGAAGAUUGCUUCUAUUAACAAAGAUAACGAGGGAAGGAGGAAAUUGUAAAGUGCUUUGCACCACCUGUAUGCUCUCUGUUAGCACAAAAGAGCACAAAUGUUCAACAAUCAGUUGACGUGUUUGUUUUGAAAAAAUAUGAUCUCGAUAUUUUGACUGAAGCACUUGCAGACAUGACUAUGACCGUCUAAUUUUAUUGGGCUGAGUGAAGUGGCAGAAAACGUGGCAUAUAUUGGUAGUUAUGUUGUCAAAAUGGUGGUGAAGACGUUUAAGUGCGCAGACUUUCUUCUUGCAUUGAAACACGAGGAAGUGACUUACAGUUUUACAGAUUAUUGGACAAAAAAAACAUGGGGGGGCUUAUUAAACCUUUUGCUGGGGUUGUAAAGACUUGUUACGGUAAGUUGCAAAUACGAAAAAUUUUGCAACUCACCGAUAACAAACUUCCAAGCGAUGAACAAUUUUUUUAAACUUUCGGCAUGCCAGCAUUCUUUUUCCUAACUUAGAGGACCCACGCACUCGAGACGGCGGCCAUCGAUGAAGGCCAUUUAUAUAUUCUUAUUAAACAAAUAAUUAAUGCCUACAUGUAAAUAAGAAUGUUUAAUUUGAGCAAAAGACUUCAUGUCUUGCACAGGGCACUUCUGUUAGACAUGUGUACACAUAAUUGGUACUGUUUUCGCAUCAAUAAAUAUAUUUAAGUAUAA
Molecule: long non-coding RNA, 4997 nt
Organism: Zophobas morio
Lineage: Eukaryota; Metazoa; Arthropoda; Insecta; Coleoptera; Tenebrionidae
Exons: 7
Source: RefSeq, a predicted model, not a curated record